This 207-nucleotide ribosomal RNA is filed under the name uncultured bacterium. Its description in RNAcentral is "partial 16S ribosomal RNA". It matches the Rfam family "Bacterial small subunit ribosomal RNA", at positions 568 to 774 of the family's 1533-position model. The record is from RNAcentral.
CACGUAGGUGGCGUGGUAAGUCAAAGGUGAAAGCCCUCGGCUCAACUGAGGAACUGUCUUUGAAACUGCUCUGCUUGAGUCCGGGAGGGGGGAGCGGAAUUCCCAGUGUAGCGGUGAAAUGCGUAGAUACUGGGAGGAACACCGGUGGCGAAGGCGGCUCCCUGGACCGGUACUGACACUGAGGUGCGAAAGCGUGGGUAGCAAACA